RNAcentral lists this long non-coding RNA (19473 nucleotides) under Gossypium raimondii (Peruvian cotton). RNAcentral's name for it is "long non-coding RNA (GRAI_LNC002381)". The record is from RNAcentral. Lineage: Eukaryota; Viridiplantae; Streptophyta; Magnoliopsida; Malvales; Malvaceae.
UAUGAUGGAGGCAGAGGGGGAAAUAAUGAUAAUAGAAGCAGUGGUAGUAGAGGUGGUUCUUAUGGAAGUAGUCAAGGGGGAGAAGAUAGUGGGUAUGGUCAAGUUCCUCCUCCAGCACCCAAUUCUUAUGGUGGGAAUUAUCCACCUGCUCCUAAUACAUAUGGUGGGAAUGCAAAUUAUGGAAUGGACUCAGUCCCUCCACCUACGAGCUAUACUGGUGGACCUACAUCAUACCCUCCAUCUUAUGGUGGCCCUGUGGGUGGUUAUGCUGGUGAGGGUUUGAGUGAUGUGAGGACUGGUGGUCGUGGUGGACCUCCUGGUGGGUAUGGUUCUGGUGGUCCUCGAAAUCAGGGAGGUGGUUAUGGUGGUCCUCCUGUUGAAGCACCGGCUAAGAUCAAGCAGUGUGACGGCAACUGUGGGGAUUCUUGUGAUAACUCAAGAAUAUACAUAACAAAUUUGCCACCUGAUGUCACUAUUGAAGAAUUAAGAGACCUUUUUGGCGGCAUUGGACAAGUAAUGGCUGAAUCUUAUACUUUAAAUCCAUGUGCUGUCUAAUGGGAAUUAUGUCGUCUACUUCGUACCGGUGUUUCUGUUUUAUUUUCAGAUAUGGUAUUUUUGGUUUAUGAUAAUUAUCCUUUGAAACUUAUUUUGUUCUCUAGUUCCAUGUUUUCAUGGACUUGGGGGUGUUUUAUGUACGUGGUUCUAUUGACAAAUUCUUUUUUUAUUUUGCAUGAAUAUUUUUUUAUCCUCACUGGUGUUUCUAACAAUUCACAUCUUGUUUAGGUUGGAAGAAUUAAGCAGAAGCGUGGCUAUAAAGAUCAAUGGCCGUGGAAUAUUAAAAUAUACACAGAUGAUAAAGGAAACCAGAAAGGUGAUGCAGUUUUGUCUUACGAAGAUCCUCAGGCUGCCCACUCUGCUGGCGGUUUCUUUAACAGUAAGUACCUACAAACUUCUUAGUUUAGUUUGUUGCCUUAAAUAUUUUACCUCAUCCUUGUGGAAUCUUCUCUCAGAUCAUGUCAUGAGAGGCUAUACGAUCGGCGUGGCUAUGGCAGAGAAGACUGCGCUCAAAGUACAUGAUCAUGGGUAUCAUUUUAACCUUUGACUACCUAACUAUAACCUUUUCAUUUAGAUGCCUUUUCUUAUCUCGAAGUGAUUGAGAUGUCCCAUUGAGGUUUUCUUUGGAUUGAGUUCAUCUAUAUUGCAAUUAGAUGCUUUGUUUUUCCAUGUUAUUUAUGAAAAUAUGACGCGUAUAAAGCAUUUUUUUCUGUCUAUAUUUUAUAUUGCCAUGUCGGAUUCCUGCUUUUAAGGUUUUACUUGCUUUCAUUUCCUUUUGAAACCAAAUAUUCAAAUGAGCACCUUUGGUUAUCAUUGACAGCCUAUGUCUUACUGCUCAUCUUGUGUAUGGUUUGCUUAUGGUAAUACUUGGUCACUCCUUUUGUUUGUCACUGUGGAAGUAAACAGCAAAAAUGAUUGCCUAAAAUAUCUCACUUGUGUUUAUACCAAGUAAACUUGUUCUUUUCCUAAAUAAAUUCUUUUUUUUUUUUAAAUUUGACAGAGGUGGUAAAGGUGGCUACGGAGGUGGUGGCGACAGGCGCAGGGAUAGUUACAGAGAUGGUGGUUCUGGGCCAGAUAGGCAUCACCAUGGCGGAAAUCGUUCGCGCCCAUACUGAGAGGCUCUCAGCUUCAAGUAUUUUAUGCACUAGGAAUGUGGUCUAAGGGUUCUAGUUGUGUUGCAUUGACGGCAUUGUUCUUGAACAGGAGACUAAGAGGUAGGUUGUUCACUUGUCUGGGCAAUACCCCUUUUUUCUCCUUUUCCUCCUUUGUCUACUGUUUGCUGGGGGUUCUUUCUUUCUAGUUGUCGCAUUGAUUGAAUUUGUGUCAAUCUUUUAUAGAGGCAAGUGGAUUAACUCCAAAUUGCUUGCUGCUAAGGUAGGUUGAUAAUUUCAGGUGAGUGCGGCUCUUUCAAAUCACACAUUUACCCUUUUUGUUUGGUAGUUAGCCCUUGAUGGUGGACUUGAUUUUGUUUCCUGUCUGCUCAUCAUGGUGGAACAAGCUUGUUAUUUAUAUGCAUGCAUGGGUAUCUCUUAUAUUAAGUCUUUAUGCCUUAAUGUUGUCAAAUUAGCUUGGUUUGGGCUUGAAAUUUGUCAUGUUGCCAGUGUUGUCAAGGUGUGCGCCAUGUGCCUUAUCAUUAUCCAACAAAAAACGCCUCAAGACACUUCCAGGCUAGGUCCAUUUGAUCAGGUGCAUGCCUGAUGCGCCUAGCCAUGCCUUCUUGUAGGGCUAUAGGCAUAAUUUUCUGAUUUUUCAUUUUAUAUAUCUCUAAUAGUAAGAAAUUUAUCCAUCUCAAACUCAAUACUUGAGCAUUCAACAUCAUGGACCAUAAAGGAAUAAUGCAUAUUGACUAAUAAAGAAAUUGCAUGUUUCAUGGAUAAACUAGACCGCACUUUAGAGACUGUAGAUCCUAAGCUUUAUUAUGCAGACACACAUGACUUCCAAAAACUCAUACACUUUCAUGAGGGUUGUGCUUUGUGCCAAAGGCAAUACAAGGGUUCUAGCACCUAGAGUGCAUCUUUUGCCCUAAUUAAAAACGAGUUAAUGGCUUUGUACAUAGUUGAUUUGCUAAAUAAGAAGUUGGGAAUGAUGAGUGGUUGAAACGGCAUUGGAUGAUUGAAUAUACGCUUGGUGGUGGCAGCUGUGGUAUUGGUGAAGUAUUUGAAAUGCAGAACAAUGGCUGGAGGGUUGUGCCAUGCCUUCAUGAUCUGGUUUUGUUGUAGCUUUGAGCUUGGGAUAUGGCAGCAACUUGUGAUGCUGCAUGUUGUUGUUUGAUAGUUUUAGUACAGAUGGUGGUCGUCAAGGAUAUUCUCAAGUGUUCUGUCUAGAAUAUCUUAAAUCUUUAUGCAUUUAGCUCCACUGUUUAUUUUGUUGAGGCACAAUGUUCCAAAUUUAUCAAUGGGAUUGCUGCUGCUUUUUAAAUAAUGGAGACACAGGUACUUCAAAUGAACUAAUUGAAUAAUUCGACUGAUUAUUUGAUUUAUCUUUGUUUAAAUUUGUUUAAAUUAAAAUUUAAAUGUGAAGGUUGUGGAUGUAAUUUUGUACAUUAGUUCAGUAUAUUUAAUUGCAUUUAUUAAUUUUUUUUAAAAAUUGUUCUUAUCAAAUAAUAAAUUUAUUUAUCAAGUUAUGUUCAAAAUUUUAUGUACUAAAAUUAUAUUAGAUUGUGUAAUAAAUAAAAAUCUAAAAUUUGAAAAGAAUUGAGAUUUAAAAUGAAUUAAAUUUACAAUCUGUGUAUAAUAUGAGUGAUUAAAUUUAACUAAACAGUGUUAAUAUGUUGGUCGGGAUUAAUUUUAAAAUCUGAUUUAUAAAUUAGAUGGACAUUAAUAAUAAUUGAAUUAGAGUAUAAAAAAUAAAUGUAAAAUAAAAGGAUUAACAGUAGAAUUUAACUUUUUGUGACUGUACGUGUUCACAAAUGGUAAAGAAUUCAUAAAUGAAUAAUUAUAUAAUAUAUGAUUGGUGUACAAUGAAUGGGCUUUCAACUAGAUUCAUAUUCUUCGGUAUUAUAAAUAUGCUACAAAUGUCUUCAAAUUUGGGUGAUUAAUUAGUAGGAUAAAGAAUUUAUAAAGUUGAUGUAGAAGAUGUUAGGUAAAGAGAUUAUCGUCUCGCUCCUGUACGUCAGAUUUACUCAGGUGGUCAUUUAUUUUUAUCGUUUAUUUAAAAAGUUUAUUAUUUUAGUCGUUUCUCUCACAUGAGUUGUUAAUUUUAGUUACUAGCCAUUAUGAGUCUACUGCAUAUAUAUACAUAUAUAUAUAUAGAUCUUAUCCAUCUAUUGAUUCAUUCAGUAAUUGAAUCGAACCCCUCUUUUAACUCAAAAUGUCAUGGUAAGGAAUAGGUCAUCGGUUCAGAUUUGAUGAGGAGUUUUUACCUCUUCUUUUUUUCCGUAAAACUCCUACAAUAUGGUAGUAUUCCUAUUGAAAGAUAGGGAUGUUGUUUUUAUUGGUAAUAAAAACUCAAUUUACUCUUAAAUACUUUUUGUCUAGUCAUUAGUUUGCUAUAAUGAUAAAUUUAACUCUUAAUACUUUGCAUAUUUUGUCAAUUUGAUCUUAAUUUAAAAAAAAGUAACAAUUUUUACCCACAACCUUGGCAUAAUUUUAAUCUAAAUUCUAAAAAAAUUGAAAAAUAAAAACACAAAAAUAUAAAACGUUUAAAGAUGUAAAUUAAAAUGCAUGAUUUUACUUUCAAAUUAAAGAAUAAGAUUUGAAUUAAUCUUUUAUAUCAUAGCCAAUCACACAAUUCUUUUUAUCAAAUUACUCAAGAAAAAUAAGUAAAAUUGAUAUUCGGCCUAAUCUUACUUACAGCAAAAUUUCUUCAGUGGAAAACCAUUCAUCCGUUACCUGCACUGCAACCACAUCCACAAAAUCCUCAAACAAAAAGAAAAUUCAAUACUAGAAUGAGAAGUAAAAGAAAACACGAACCCUAGGCCAAUUCCUACGAAAACCCGUAGUAAAAGUUCACCAUCGGAUUCCAAGCUCAAACUCCCGGUCGAGCUCACGAGUACAGUCCGUGGCGGCUUGAACGAUGGAGGAGAUUUGGCGGGAAAGGGAGUAUUGGUGGUCUAAUGGUUCGCCGUUUCUUUUUAGGUUGGGGGGUUUUGGAGUUAGUGCAAACCUUCUUGAAUAGAGCUUAGCUUUCUCCCACAUUGGGGUAGAGUAUCACAUCAAGGGGUACUCUUUGUUGCCUUUUUUAGGCAUGGUAUCUUGAGUUUGGUUAUUAAUGAAAUAACCAAAUUUUGCGAGCGGAAAAGUUCAAGGAUUGCAACAGGGAGAGCGUUUGUACUCAAGACGAGGUAAUGCUUGAAUCAUGGGGAAGGAAGGUGGCAAAUAGAGUUAAUAACAAAGAAUGGAAAGGGAUCAGAGUUACCUAGGUGUGAGACGCAACCUAGGAGCUCAAAGAGGAUGAUGAGGAGGCCCUAGAGGUAGCUUUGUGGAUUCUUCAAACUCUUUUGACUCAUUGAAGGGAAGAAACUCCAAAGUAAAUUGAGGAUAAAACGACACAGAUUAGUGUAGGUGAUGUCUAAGCGCUAGUGCUGCUGAAAGAGGGCCUUGAGGGGGUCCGCGAUAUCUUCAGGCUCUUUGAAUUCCUUUGACUCCUUGGUGGGAAGAUUGAUGAUUUCCAUAGUAUUUGAGGGAGACAGACCUUGAAAGUGUAGUAGAGGUGAGUGGGGCAUGCUUUACGGACUCCUCAAAGAGAAGGGAUUUAAACAUCUAGGCUGGAGGUUUGGAGGGAGAGAGAAAGUACAGGUGGUGAAGAGAACUUGCAAGAUAUGAGCUCGGAAGGCCUUGGGGUGUGGAGAGGCACUGCUUCUUCAAGGCAUGCAUUUUGCAAAUAAGGCUCACCAGGUAAUUCUUGAGUUGGUUCCCUUCCCUAUAAACACAAAUCCCUCCCUACUCCUCAAUUGGUUUUUAAGGUAUGAGAACUCAUUAAUUAUUCUAGUUCCUGCUUGUGCUUAUGAAAACAUUCCUUAUAUAGCUCCUGCUGUGUGUGCAGUUUGCUGGAGAUCUUGAUUCAGAAACAGUGUGCUUUUGAAGAGAUCAAGCAAUGCAUUCCAGGACACUUGGUAGGAUCCAAAGAAUUGUUGGCGGGAAUCUCAUCGGCCUGAGUCGCAUGGAUAGUUCAUAGAUUUCAUUUAUCAUCAGCACAAGUAGUUGUAGUUGUGGAAAUAACACAAGGUAGAGGUGAUGUGAAAUCAGAAUAUGUGACAUAUUUUAUCACUUUUUUUGAUGAAGUUGGGUUUAUAGGCAUAAUGCACUUAAAAGUUUUUGUAGUGGGGGUGUCAAGAGAGAAGUCUAAAUGUGUAUCAAGAAUGGUGACUUGUUAAUGAUUAUAUUAUGCCUCUGAGUUCCAUUUGCACUCAGCCAAUAUUUCAUAUGCAAUAAAAGUACUCUUGCAUCGACGAAAAAACAGUUUCAUAAGUACUAAGUAAUAUAUAAUAACAACACCAAUUUCUAUAAAUAUAAGAUAGGAGAACAAGAGUAUGAGUCUUGAAACUAAGAGACAUAGCACAUCGUUUUCUUAAUCAUAUUUCAUGGAUGGAUGUCAAACAUCACAUCAUCGACCAAACCACGUAACGUAGAGUGUGAAGAUCCAGCAUUCAUCAAGGCUUUCCUACUCUUUUCACUCAUCUCUUUUACCCUUUUCCUAACAUCACUGCCCUCUUCCAUCACGCUCCUUAUUCCUUUCUCUAUCGUUUUGGCACUCACGAUUUCAAUUUCACCGCUAUCCAUACCAUCUCUCUUAUAAUCCAUUUUAAUUUCCACUGCUAAUCCCAACUCCAUCACCAAUUCAAACGCAUUCAGUUGUUGUUCUGCGUAAACUGGCCACGCCGCUAUGGGAACUCCGAACCAUAUACUCUCCAGCGUCGAGUUCCACCCACAAUGCGAUACGAACCCUCCAGUCGCUGGGUGGCCCAAAAUCGCCACUUGCGGUGCCCAACCAAUGAUCUUACCUAUGCCACGCGUUCGAUCUAAGAACCCUUCUGGCAGAACCUCCGAUGCAUCAUCGUAGUCAGUUGGGCUUGCCCUCGGGCCCUUGGAUGGGUGUGGGGGUUGGCGUAAUGACCACAAGAACCGGUGCCCACUCUGCUCUAGCGCGAAAGCAAUCUCUUUCACUUGAUCCCCAUUGAAGCUGCCCCAGCUCCCGAAGCAGAGAAACACAACCGAUGACGGCGGUUGUUCAUCCAGCCAUUUCAUGAUAUCAGAACUCUGAUGGACCUCACUUUCACUCUCGAGAUUCAAUAAAGGUCCCACUGGAUAAACGGGUAGAGCACUAGCAUCAGAUAGGGAACUGAUUGCAUGGGAUUCGAGCUCCCAAAACGUGUUUAUCAUUAUACCCUUGGCCUUUCUUAGCCCUCUUGUCAAGGUAAUCACCAUAGGAAGAGAUUCAGGCUUGAGCAUAACAGAGGGAAAGAGAUUAGAUGACACAGGGUUGAGAUAGGAGGGUAUGGUGAACUCAGUGUCCGAGUCCUCUAACUCAAGGAUGUUAACAUUUUGCUCAUCGUGAAGGUCUAGUAUAUAAAAUUGAAAGCCGAGAAAAGCUGCACCCGAUGUGUAAAAAACAUAACUCGGAACACUCAACUCGUUACCCAAAUCAAUGAAAGGAGUUAAAAACAUGUCGAGAACAAACCCGGCGAGGCGAGGCGAGUCGAGCACAGAGGUGGAGUACUGAACUAUGUUGGUGGCAGCCUGUUUCACUAACGGUCCAUGGGUUUGCAAUAAAGUAGUGACAAAAUUGGAGGGAGAUUCAUCUUCGCGGGUUUCAGGUGGAGGGAGGUCGAUGAAUUUCAUGCGAGUGGCAGUGAGAGAGUGGACGUAGGCAGCGAGUUUUGCAUCGGGGUUUAGUUUUAUCAUGAGAACAGUAAUGGAGAGAUUGGGAUGGAGAUCAAGCAAAAGCUUAGCCAGUUGGACCAUAGAUACGAAAUGGCCCAUUAGAGGCAUUGGGAUGAAGACAAGCUCGGCUUUCAUGACCAUCUGGAACAGCACAGGAUAGGCAACAGAGACGACGAAGAAGGUAGAUAAGAUUGAAGAGUGGAGGCCACUAAAAGUUGAGUGAUGAUAGAUUGUACAAGUAGUACAAGUCCUAAAGGCGUGGAACUUCAUGUCGCUAAUACCACCCAAUCAAUUUAUUUUACCUUUUCACUAAAAAAGAAAAGAAAAAAAAAAAACCUUGGCACGAGAUAAUUAGUACUUGUCGGAUCUCUGUCCACUUUCAUACUAACGUCCUUUGGUCAAUAAUACCGCCCAUUAUACCCGUAUUUUUACGGGUAUUUUUAAAAAUAUACAUGAGUAUCGUUUGACACAACGAUAAUAUUAAAAAAUUAUUUUUUUAAAGUUUAAUAAUUGUGUGAUGAUUGAUUGAAAAAGGGGAGUGAUGCCGUCAAAGUAUCAUACAUCACCUUAGUUACGGUAGCAAAUAACUCAUUUUCGUAAAUAUUGUCCUCCAACCUAUUUUCAUAAUUAAUUAAUUUUUUAUUUAAUUUUUAUAAAAAAAAUGCCGAAGGGAUUGGACUAACGGAGGAUGCCACGACUGAGGAAGCGGGGGCUGACCUUAAAGCUUCAUCGAGUGCCAUGUUGUCAAUGGUAGAGCUAUAGAGUUCACCUAGGAUGUAUUUACUAUUGUUUUUCAAAAGUACUUUUGGAACCAUAAACGAGGCUAAACAAACUAUUUUUGAAGUAAAAAAUACUUUUAAACCUAAAAAAAAAAAACAUUCUUCUAACUUUUGCGCUUGAGAAGUGCUUUUGGUAGACCUGUCCAUGGGCCGAGUCAAGCCUUACCAAAAAAUUAUGCCCAUUUGCUAGGCCCAGGUCUAUCUUGACCUGAAAAAUGAGUUAAAAAUUUUGUCCAAGCCCGACCCGUAUAAAAUGUUAAAACCUGGACCCGGCCUGGUCGAAUUAAUUUUUUAUAUAAAAUUUUAAAAUAUAAUACAUAAAAAAUACUAAAAAUAUUAGAAUAAAUGUUUCCUAGCAAAUUGAAAAUAAAUUAAAAAAAUAUUUGUACUUAAAUAACACUAAGAUAUGUGUAACUUAACAAGCAAGUGACUCUAAAAUAGUAACAAAAUUAACAACAAAACAAGAGUUAUACAAUAUCAAAACAAUAACAAUAAAAUAAUAGUAACAUAAUAGUGAAAUAGUAGUAAAAUAGUGAGAAAACAGCAAGAAAAUAGCAACAAAACAGCAAAAAAUAACAUUUUUUUGUCUUUUUGCUAAUUCAGGUCGGGCAAGAAAAAAAAUCUUACUUGAGGCCUGGUCCAUUUUUUAAACAUGCCUUUUUUUGCCCAAACACAUUUUUUGGGCUUAUAUUUUUACUCAAACUCUCACGCUUUUCGGAAAGGCCUUUGGGUCAAAUAAUAUUUUUAAUCAUUAUUUAUAAUUCAAUGUAUUUUAUUAAAUAUUUAUAUUGGAUAAAAUUAUUUUUUAUUCAAAUUUAUUUUAAAUAUAUAAAUUAUAUAUUUAAAUUUGUAAUGAUUAAAAUAUAAUUUAUAUAUUCAAAUUGAAUUUACAAAUAAUUAAUAUUAAUUACUUUAAAAAUUUAAAAUUUGUAUUUCAUAUAUCAAAAUAUUAAUAAUGAGUUGCAAUAAAUUAUUUUUUACAUUUUAUUGAAAUAUUGUAAUAUAAUAAAUUCAAACCGUGUUUAAAAGCUUGUUUUGUAGUUUAUUAUAUCAUGUCUAAAAUAAACAUUUUAUUUUUGAAAAAUAUUCUUUGAUAGCAAUACUAAACACUUAAAUUUUAAACCGAAUUUUUUAAAAGCAACGCUAAACUAGCCUUUAAAAUUUCAGAUUUUUUUUCCUGGGUUUCCAUUUUUAUAUUUAUUAUAAUAGAAAAUUAUUUGAUGCACUAUUAGUGGAGUUUUUAGACUCCACAAGUAGGGCUAGACGGGUUGACAAAUUUCCUGUAAGGGUAUAGUAAAAUAUUAAAAAAAUCUUUUUAAAAAAAGAAACCCAUGACAAUUUUUUAUGUUUGUUUGUGGAAUAAAAAAAGUAUACUACUAAUGUAUUUUUAUAUGUUUUUUAAUUUAAAUUUUAUGUAUUUUUAUAAUAAAUUUUAAGUUUUUGAAGCUUUAUAUUUAUAUAUAUUAAUUUUAGAACCAGGAUUGAAUUGACAGAAUUUGCAAACGGUGUGGGUAAAAAUUGUUGAAUUUUUUAGAAUUAGGACCAAAUUAACAUAAUAUUCAAACUGUUAAGGGUUAAAUUUGUUAUUAUACCAUUCAAAAGACUGCCACGUAAGCAUUCCAUCUGGUGACCAUAUGUGUUUAACGACAGAGUGACUAAGAUUGACAAAUUAUCUAACUAGAGUGACUAAAAUGACAAAUUUUUAAAAUAUGUGACCAAAAUAAGAGCACUGAUAAACUCGGGUGACUAUCUAGAUAGUUUACCCAAAGAUAAAAUAUGACAUUUGUAUUCUUUAUAUAUUUGAAUUUAGUUCUCUUUUUUUUUUUUUACUUGAAAGGAAUUAAGUUUUAUUUUUAGAUUUAAAAAUAUAAGUACAAUUGUUAACGAUGAUAAAACACAAAAUUUUGUUGUUAUAUAAAUAUCAAAUAAAUAUUUUUCAUUUAAAAAUACGGUGAAAUUAAUAAAGGGUAAACACCACAUGUCAUACAAACAUGGGCCAUUUUCUUUUGUGGUCACCAAAUUAUGUUUUUUUAAAAAAAAUUUGAACACCCAAUUACGAAUUUGUUUCUUUUUGGUCAUCCAACUAUAAUUUUUUUUUAAAAAAUUUGGUCACUCAACUAAUUGAAAUUGUUUUUUUAUCCAUUUUCGUUAAUUGCACUAACGGGAGGGUGACAUGGUAAUUAAAAAAUUGAUAUAAUAACAAAUUUACCGUUCAACUUUUACAUAUUAUAUCAAUUUAGUCCUAAUUAAAAAAAAAUAACGCUCAAAAUUUACAAAUGAUCUCAAUUUUGAUUCUCAAAAUUUACCACCUUCCUUUUCUGCUUCCCCCACCGCCACUACCAUCAUGGCACGGUUUCACUACAAUUAUGUUGCAAAAGUUCGUCGUUCUCUAUAAAAUUGUCAUUAAGCUCAUUGUAACACCCCUAACCCCAGACCGUCGCCGGAACAGGGUUACGAGGUAUUACCGGACAUAUCAAACGAUUUACAAAUAAUUCUUAAAUAAAUAACCAACAUAUUAGAAUAAAUCAUAAAUUCAUAUGUUUGUUUACCAAUGGACUUCAUUUUUUUUAUAUAAAUUUCGGCAGCAUUUCAGCUUAUUUUUACAUAAAACCCCCUGCAAUUUAAAACCAUUUCAUUUUCAAAUAUAAUCAAAUCAACCAGUUCAUGUCACAUUCUCAUUUCCUAUUCUAAAUUCCUUCUAAUCAAACUCAAUCAACAUAAUAUCAAUUUAAAUUUAACAAUGUACUAAUUAAAUAAAAAUAGGUAAACUUCUUUCAUUAUAAUUCAUAAACUUCUAAUACUAACAUUUUUAACCAUUUAUAUUAAAACAUAAUAACCUUUAUAUACAUCCUAUGUACAUGCCACAUUACCAAAAGAAAAUAUACAUCACCAAAAUUAUGCUGAAGCCGGGAUUAAUCUGGAUGCUGAACCGGGACCUUUGACUUCUAUCGACCUGCGCACGGAAACAACCGUACGCUGAGUAUUUCAUACUCAGUGGUAUUACCAUAAAUCAAAUUAUAACAAUAAUAAACAUAUAAUGCAUAAAUCGUAUAUACAAAUUUAAAUUCAAAUUCCAUAUUUCAAUAAUAACAAAUCAUCAACUAAUAUCAUACAUCCACAAUUUAAAUUUGGAUAUAUCAUGAAUCUUAGGUUCAUUUCUCAAUCUCAUAUCACAUUGCAAUUCACAAUUCAACUUUUUCAUUUCACUUCAGUAGCUCGUUUGAUCAACUCGUUCGGUUUAUCAUUUCAUUAAUUACCCUAUUAACAAAACUCGGACUUUGGCGGAUACACGGAUCCAACCAAACACACCAGUAUGGCACCCAGUGCCUCAUCGGAUAGUUCGAAGCAAUAGUUGACACCCAGUGUCUCAUCGGCCAAGCCGAAGUAAGUUGGUACCCAGUACCUCAUCGAAUCUAUCCGAAGAAAUAUAGUGACACCCAGUGUCUCAUCGACUCGAGGUCGAAGUAUCUCUAAACUCUUCCAAUCCUAUGGCAUGCCAACUAUAUCCGACUCAACCCGACUAGUUAAUAGGGUAUUUAAAUCACAUUAAUAUAAUCUCAAUUCAAUCACAAUUUCUCACAUUUUCAAUUCAAUCAUUUUUCCACCUUUCAAUCAAUAAUUAAUCCACAAAUUCACACAUUUUCACAACUCGAAACACUUCCAUACAAUUUAAUACCAUUCACAAUUCGAUUCAAAUUCAUUUCCCACUUUCAAUCAACAAACAAUUCAAGUAUUAAUUCAUAUCAACUAUUCAAUUUAAUUCCCACUCAUAAUAAUAAUAAUACUUACCUCGUAUUUUAUUUACCAAACACAUAAAUUAAAAUUUAACAUUUAAUAAUAAAUAACUUGAAUUAUAGUAAUACAAACCGUAAAUCUCCCGUUUUAGUCCUCGAUAGCUUUCUCCUUGCCUUUUGAUGCUGAUGCCUCGGGUUCUUUGUUAGCUACGAAAAUAAUAAUAAUCUAUACUAUUAAUUACAACACUAAUUAUGAUAAAUAAUUGAAUUUCUAUUCAAUUUCUUCCUUAUUCUCAAUUUAAUCCUAACUAAAUUCACUUACUUUCCUAAUUCAAUUCACACUCAAUUUCUAUUCAAAUUUCAUCCAAACUCAAAUUUAACUAUCAAAAUUUCAGCAUAUUUUCCUAAUUUCGAAUUUCCCUCAAUUCAGUCCCUAAAACAUAAAACUUAUAGUUUCUUUUACAAUUUAAUCCAUUUAUUAAUUCUAACUUAAAAUCCAUUCAAUUAAACCCCUAAUUCAACAAUUUAUUCAACAUAAACUAUACUUGAAAACCUAUGAACUUACAAAAUAUCAACUUGAUUCCAUCAAAACCUUGUUUUAAAACUUCUAAAACAUUAAAAUUAAGAAAAAAGAGCUAUAUUGACUUACCAAAUUAAAUUCCAAGCUUUAGAAACCCUAUUUUCCCUUUUUCUUCUUUCUCUGUUCUGUUUUCGAAUGCUAUUCUGUUUCUUUUCUGUUUUGUUUCUUUCUUUUACUUUAUUUUAUUUUACGUUUUGUUUUUUAUUUAACUACUAUAAUAUUAUAAUAAUGUAAUAUAAUAAUAAUAAUUUCUUAAACAAUAACAAUUAUAUAUAUUUUACAAGUGUAUGCAUGUACUUUUUACACAUAUAUAUUAUCAUCACCAUACAAUUGUCAUUUGUCAAAAUAUUUAUUUAUUUUAUAUAAUAAUAUAAUAUAAUAUAAUAAAUAUAUUAUUUACUUAUUUAUUAAGAAUAUAUAUAUAUAUAUAUAUAAUAUACAUAUUUUAACUAAUAAAACAUCCUUGAUAUUUUACACUUAAACCGCCUCAAUCUUUGCAAUUACUUUAUUUGCCUUUUUAGUCCUUUUAACUUUUCUUUAAUCUAUAAUUAAACUUCUACCUCUAUUGCAAUUUAAUCCUUUUUGCUAAUUACUCCUAAUUAAACUAAAUUCACCUAUCUAAAACCUAAUUAAACACACCACUAGUCUAGUAAAUAUUUCUAAUAAUUAUUGUCGAACUCAAUUUACUAAGACGGAGGCCCGAUAUUGUACUUUUCCGAUGUCCGUGAAUUUUGGGUCAUUACACUCAUGGUAAACAAGGUUAAGGUGGUUAUGCCAAGAUUGAUUGGUCCUAAUCAAGUUAGCUUUGUUCCUGGGAGAACCAUCACUAAUAAUAUCAUUAUUGCCCAUGAAAUGAUCCACUCGAUGAGAACUCAUAAAGGUAAUGAUCGUCAGAUGGCUAUUAAAUUUGACUUGGAGAAAGCCUGUGACAUACUUAGAUGGGAUUUUUUGGAGGAUUCUCUCUUUGAUGUUGGUAUUUCAAUUGAUAUGGUGCGAACUAUUAUCAAUAUGCAGAUCUUGUGGAAUGGGUGCUUAACUGAUGAAUUUACUUCGUCGCCUGACAUUCGACAAGAGGACCCCAUCUCACCAUGUCUCUUUGUUUUUGGUAUGGAACAAUUAGGCUAGAGCAUUUAUAACUCAGUGGAAUGUAAUUAAUGAUAUCCGAUUAAAUUUGCAAGGAAUAGUCUCUCCCUUUCUCAUCUCUUUUUCUCUGACGAUCUUGUUCUUUUUUGUAAAGCAUAUUUAGACCAAGCUCAAGUGGUGAACAAUAUUCUGAAAUAAUUUUGCCAGUCUUUAGGCCGUAAAGUGAGUUAUUCUAAAACUAAUAUAUAUUUCUCAGUUAAUGUGAAGGAGGAAAAAGUUGACCUAUUUGUAGUGUUCUUAAUUUCAAUCGAGUUGAUGACAUGGGCACGUAUUUAGUGGCUCAUUUAUGCCACAAAAGAGUUAACCAAAAGCAUUUUUCAGUUUAUUAUUGUAAAGGUUCGCAAUAGAUUGAGCGGUUGGAAUGCAAGCCUACUUUCGGUGGCAGGGAGAGUGACCUUUGCUAAAUCAGUCCUUUUAGCAAUACUUAAAAUAUUUUAUAAUUACGUCCAAGAAUUAAUUUUCAAUCCUAAAUAAUAUUCAAUUACAAAUUAAACAUAUUAUAUUUUGUUUUAUAUAUUAGUUUGCAUGUCAUUUUAUUUUAAUGAUGUUAAGAAAAUGGAUCUAAAUAUGUGUCAGAAAUCAAAUUUGAUUACCAACUUGGAUAAAAAGAAAAAGAACUUAAGUAUCAAAUUGAAAAUUAAAACAAAAUUCAAGUACUAAAAAAUAAAAUUUUCCUUUCACAUUUUUUCUAUUAACAUUUAAGGGGAGCUAACAGAAAGCUCUUUGUAAAGAGCACCUCCCUAAAACCCUCGAAAAAUCGGCUGGAGUUUUAGGGAGCGCUCCCAUGUAGAGCUUAGUUCCCAUCAAUUGAAUCUAUUAAAUUUUCAAAAUUUCAAUUUAACCAGUUAGACUAAAUAAUUUAAUAUUUUAUUAAAUUUAAAAUAUAAAUUAAUAAUAAUUAAAAUUAAAAUAAACAUUAAAUAAAAAUAUAUAUUGAAAAGAAUCGAAGAUAAUAUAAAACAUAAAAUAAAAUAUUCACUUUUUAAAAAUAUCCUGAAAAAAUAAAUAUCUUUUAAACAAUAAUAACUUUUUUUUGGUUUUUUUUUUCUAGUUUAAUCCAUUCUUUAUUUUUUAUUUAAUUAUAAGGUAAGUUAAUUCAAUUAAUUUCUUAUUAGCGGAGUUUACUUUAUUCAUAGAAAACUCUAGACCUUCAAGUUGAUUGCUGGUCACAGUUUUUCUAACGUUUUUCUCGUAAGUUUAUUUUGUUUUUAAUUUCAGUCCACAUCAUUGUGGUUUUGUCCACAUUUUUUAGUUUUAUUUUGUCCAUAUUUUUCGUGGUUUUUGUUUUGUCUACUUUGUUUUGUUCGAAAGCAAAGGCGGUUUUAUUUGUACUUUUAAUUUUGAGGCAUAUUCUGGCAUAUAUGUGAGAUUUGUCAAUAUAAUGGUGCCUCCAGAUCUAUUAGGAAUUGUUCUCAAUGGGCUUUAUCAUGAUAGAUCAUAACAAUGGUGAUAGAUUUAAGAUGAUCAAAAUGAUAAAUCCCUCGAGACUUGACCUUUUGUGCAUCACUUAUGCAAUAAGUCUCUUUGAGCUUUUGGAAGUUUUUUCUUGGUUGAUUGGUGUUGAUGUCAGGUUGAUUUGAUGAUGACAAGGCUAGGAUGUAAAUUUCAAUGAUCUGAUCAAGUUGCAUCUUUGGUUUGUUUCUAAAUUAUUCCAGUGUUGCAAUUAUUGUCAAUUUGUUCUUUUGUUUUUAGAUUACUUUGUAGGCAUGACAUUUGUACAUUAGUUGGUAGUGAUUUAUUUAUUAUUUGUAUUAUGUGCCUUGUCUUUGUAUUUUUUUCAUGGUUCCUAUUAAUAAUAGUUAUUUAUUCAAAAAAUAAAUAAAAUGAUUUGUUAAGGCUGUUUUAAAGCCAUAAUAUAAUUUUUAGUCCCUAAACUUGAUAACUAAGUCCAUUUUGGACCCUAAACUUGAAAAUAUAAAAAGUUUGUUGAGACACUAUAAAAUUAUACCACGUCAUCACUUGAAAGUGAUGGCGUGGUACAACUUUAUAAUGUUGCAUCCAAUUUAACUUGAUAGUCAAUUUUGUGAUGAUUAUGGAAAAUGAUGAUUUUGAAUGUUAAGCAUGGCAUGUGGUUUAGUAAUGCUUGAUUUAGCAAUGUUUGGUGUCUUUAGAAACAAGGAAUAUGAAUCUAUUUGAUCUUGGUAUAUUAAAGAUGGUAAAUAAGUAAAAUAGCUAAGUUGGUGCAUAACUAGAAUUGGCAUGUUUGAUGGUCUUGCUUGACUUAUACAUUUUGUGUAUGAUUGUUUUGGUCCAUUUCAAGUUCAUGUAGGUUUUUGACAAUUGAAUUGCAUAUAUAUGUAUACAUUGAGCUUGAUUGAACAUGGUUGACAUAGUUAUGUGGAUAUUUGGGAUUAAAUAGGCUUAAGUGAUGAAUGGUUGAAUUUAUAAGGUACUAAAUAAUUUGGUGGAAUGUCUUCAAGCUUGAAUUGUGUUAGUUUGGCAUGGUAAAAUAGUUUUUAUUUGGUGAAUGAUUGUAUGGUAGUGUUUAAGGUUGGUUUGAAGGUAAUUGAAUUAAUAUCAAAUGUGCAUUUUGUCAAAACAAGGGCAAUGUUGUGACUAGGAGAUUUCGACAUCGCAACCUUGUCUGAGAGUGAGUGGAGUCGCGACGUGGAGAUGUUUAACAUCACGAUGUAACUCAUUGACUUGCGACGUGAACAACAUGAUGUCGUCACGUUAGUUCGAGAUUUUCCAAACUUCACAAUUUAGUCAUAUUUCAUGUUCGGGUUAGUAAAAGAGUUUUUGUAAGAUUAAGUAGGGCCCAAAAAUGAUUGUGUAUUACUUUAUAUACAUGAAUGCCAUUUAAUUAUGUAUUUAAAUGUUAAUAUGUUACAUGAUGUUUUAAAUUUUAUUAAAUCGAUGAUCAUAACAUCUCAUAACUCAGACCCGGCAAUCAGAUCGGAUUUCUAGAUUUUGGACUUUAAUAUUCUCCUAUUGGAUUGUGAUUACAAGUAGACUUGUCCAUGGGCUGGGCCGGGCCCGGAAAAAAUUUCGGCCCGACUCUUAGGCCAGGGCCCGGCCCGAAAUAUGGGCCUAAAAUUUUGCCCAGGCCCGACCCGGGAAAAAAAUAAUAAGCUCGAGCCCGGCCCAAUUUUUAAUAAACACAAAAAAAAUAUUUUAAAAAAAUAUUUUUAAAGUAUUUUAAAAAUAAAAAAAAUAUAUUUAUUAUAUUCAGGCCGGGCUGGGCAGGGUUUGGGCCAAAAAAGUUUAGCCCGAGCCCGGCCCAUUUUUAAAACGGGCCUCAUUUUUUUGCCCAAGCCCAUAUUUCGGGCCUCUAUUUUUACCUGAACCCUCCCAUAUUUCGGGUGGACCGUCGGGCCGGGCCGGGCCGCCCGACCCAUGGACAAGUCUAAUUACAAGGGACACUAUUAUACUUAAAUCUUUUUAUUUAUCCGAUAACUAUAUCCAAGCACUGUCAAUGGAUGGGUAAGUCUGCAGAAUGACAUAGCUUUUAGCUUGGACUGAUGCUAGCCUAAUCAUGAUCAUUCUACCUUGUGGAGGUUGUUGUUGUUGUUGCUGGUUAAGAGAGAGCACUAUUUUGAUUUUAUACAUAGUUUCUUUCCUCCGUAGGCCUUGGAUUGACUUCAAUCUUAUAGGUUUUUUUUUUUGUUCGUGUUGCUCGUUUAUAAUAAAAUAAAUUAUUAGUGUUACAAAAAAUUAGAGGAAGUAGGUCUUGACUUGAUUAUGGGUUGGGCCACUCGUCUAGACCCAAAGGUCCGCCCGAAAAGUAAAAGGUUCUGGAUAAAAUAUAACUCCGAAACAUAAGCAUGAACAAAAAAUAAAGCAUGUUUUCUAAACGGGCUGGACCUCGAGUAGUUUGCCUAAAUUUGUCUAAAAUUUUUUCACUGUUGUUUUCUAUUGUUUUACUACUGUUUUGCUAUUAUUUCCUACCAUUUUGAUAUUGUUUUGCUAUUAUAUUGUUAUUAUUUGAGUAUUGUAUAAUUUUUAUUUUAUUAAUAAUUUUGCUACAAUUUUAGAAGCAUUUGCUUGCUAAGUUGCAACUAUUUUUAAUGUUAUUUAAAUAUAAAGAAUUUUUAUAAUGUAUUUAUAAUGUGUUGAGAAAUAUUUAUUUUAAUAUUUUUAAUGUAUUUGAUAUAUUAUAUUUUUUAAAUUUAUUUUUAAAUAAAAAUAAUAUAAAAUUUUAAUAUGGAUAGAUCUUAAUAUUUUUUCUAAGCUAAAUUUAGACAAAAUUUUUUCUUCAUUUUUCAAGCUCAAACAUGUUAAACGAGUCUAGAAAUUUAUUAAGGCGCAACCCGAAACCAAUUUGGCCAAGAUUAAAUCUAAGUAGGCCUUAUGAGUGACACGUGUUGGAGAAUUGUAUGCGAUGCGACUCACGCACAAAAAGAAAGAAGCGGGCAAGGCAAAUAAUCUACCGUCCUUUAUAUAUUCCAACAUCACACAUUUUCUAAUUUUAUUGAACCCUAAAUAUUUCUUAAUUUUCUUUUUCUCUGUCCCCUAAAACGAACGACACAAACAAAACAAAAAAGCCCUAGAUACAUCAUUAAAGGAUGUACGGUCAAGACGGAGACGAAGCUGCUCCGCCUUCAUAUGGAGGUGGUUACGGCGUUUCUGGAGGCUAUGGAGGCGGCGGCGGGGGUUAUGGUGGAGGCGGACGAGGUGGAAGUGGAGGUCAUGGGGGUCGAGGUGGAGGCGGCAGAGGAGGUGGUGGAGGAUAUGGCGGUGGUUAUCAAAAUCGAGGUAAUUUUGUUUGUUCUUAAUAUUUUUUGUUAGAUUUGUGGGGUAGCGUUGUUGAGUGUUUGUUUUCUCGCAAAUUUGAUAUUGGUUUUUGGGAGAUUAAUCCGAUUUGAAGGUCUUGUUAUGUUCUUAGUUUAAUUAAUGAGAUCUUGAUGUUGCAGGAGGCGGUGGAGGUUAUCAAGGAGGAGAGCGUGCUGGAAGAGGUGGCGGCGGAAGAGGUGGUGGCCGUGGUGGAAGCGGCCGUGAUGGUGAUUGGCUUUGCCCUAACCCCAGGUAAACGAUCUUCCACUGCUUUUGAUUUCCUUAUGGGGGGAGGUUUUCCUCUCCGUUGUGGAUUUUGCAUUGUUAAUUAGUCAAAUAUUCAGGUUUCGGUUUGUUGCUGAUAUUAUGAUACUGCUGUUAGUUGUUAGAUUUGUGUUUAUUUGAACUGGCAUAUGUUUAUGUAGCUGUGGGAACUUGAACUUUGCAAGAAGAGUUGAAUGUAACAAAUGCGGUGCACCAUCUCCUGCGGGUGCUGGUGGUGAUCGUGGUAGUGGUAGUACUGGUGGUGGUUAUAGCAGAGGUGGUGGUGGGGGAUAUGGCGGUAAUCGUGGAGGUAGAGAUGGGGGUAGAGGUGGUUAUGAUAGUGGUAGGAAUAACAACUAUGAUGGAGGCAGAGGUGGAAACAAUGAUAAUAGAAGCAGUGGUAGUAGAGGUGGUUCUUUUGGAAGUAGUCAAGGGGUAGAAGAUAGUGGGUAUGGUCAAGUUCCUCCUCCAGCACCCAAUUCUUAUGGUGGGAAUUAUCCACCUGCUCCUAAUACAUAUGGUGGGAAUGCAAAUUAUGGAAUGGAUUCAGUCCCUCCACCUACAAGCUAUACUGGUGGACCUACAUCAUACCCUCCAUCUUAUGGUGGCCCUGCGGGUGGCUAUGCUGGUGAGGGUUUGAGUGAUGCACGGACUGGUGGUCGUGGUGGACCUCCUGGUGGAUAUGACGGUGGGUAUGGUUCUGGUGGUCCUCGAAAUCAGGGAGGUGGUUAUGGUGGUCCUCCUGUUGAAGCACCAGCUAAGAUCAAGCAGUGUGACGGCAACUGUGGGGAUUCUUGCGACAACUCAAGAAUAUACAUAACAAAUUUGCCACCUGAUGUUACUAUUGAAGAAUUAAGAGACCUUUUUGGCGGCAUUGGACAAGU